Molecule: ribosomal RNA, 728 nt
Filed under: Escherichia coli
Lineage: Bacteria; Pseudomonadati; Pseudomonadota; Gammaproteobacteria; Enterobacterales; Enterobacteriaceae
Description: partial 23S ribosomal RNA
Rfam family: Bacterial large subunit ribosomal RNA
Source: RNAcentral
GAAAUACCACCCUUUAAUGUUUGAUGUUCUAACGUUGGCCCGUUAUCCGGGUUGCGGACAGUGUCUGGUGGGUAGUUUGACUGGGGCGGUCUCCUCCUAAAGAGUAACGGAGGAGCACGAAGGUUGGCUAAUCCUGGUCGGACAUCAGGAGGUUAGUGCAAUGGCAUAAGCCAGCUUGACUGCGAGCGUGACGGCGCGAGCAGGUGCGAAAGCAGGUCAUAGUGAUCCGGUGGUUCUGAAUGGAAGGGCCAUCGCUCAACGGAUAAAAGGUACUCCGGGGAUAACAGGCUGAUACCGCCCAAGAGUUCAUAUCGACGGCGGUGUUUGGCACCUCGAUGUCGGCUCAUCACAUCCUGGGGCUGAAGUAGGUCCCAAGGGUAUGGCUGUUCGCCAUUUAAAGUGGUACGCGAGCUGGGUUUAGAACGUCGUGAGACAGUUCGGUCCCUAUCUGCCGUGGGCGCUGGAGAACUGAGGGGGGCUGCUCCUAGUACGAGAGGACCGGAGUGGACGCAUCACUGGUGUUCGGGUUGUCAUGCCAAUGGCACUGCCCGGUAGCUAAAUGCGGAAGAGAUAAGUGCUGAAAGCAUCUAAGCACGAAACUUGCCCCGAGAUGAGUUCUCCCUGACUCCCUGAGAGUCCUGAAGGAACGUUGAAGACGACGACGUUGAUAGGCCGGGUGUGUAAGCGCAGCGAUGCGUUGAGCUAACCGGUACUAAUGAACCGUGAGG